This 57-nucleotide transfer RNA is filed under the name Hemidactylus garnotii. Its description in RNAcentral is "tRNA-Ser". Lineage: Eukaryota; Metazoa; Chordata; Lepidosauria; Squamata; Gekkonidae. The record is from RNAcentral.
GAAAGAGCUCAACUAGCCUGCUAACCUGGUGCUCCAAGCCUAACCCCUUGGCUCUUC